This 21-nucleotide non-coding RNA is filed under the name Caenorhabditis elegans. The record is from RNAcentral. Lineage: Eukaryota; Metazoa; Nematoda; Chromadorea; Rhabditida; Rhabditidae.
UUUUUUCAAUUAUGUAAGAAA